GUCUAUGUAGUAUACAAAUUACACUGGUCUUGUAAGCCAGAAAUGGGGAUAACACCUCCCCCAAAGACU
Molecule: transfer RNA, 69 nt
Filed under: Histiotus macrotus (big-eared brown bat)
Lineage: Eukaryota; Metazoa; Chordata; Mammalia; Chiroptera; Vespertilionidae
Description: tRNA-Thr
Source: RNAcentral